CCCUGCCCGGCUGAGGGAACGCCCGCCGGCCCGCGGUGUUUUAAACGUGAAAGCGCCCCUUCACUGUCCCCGAGUGCUUCAGACCCGCUGGGCGGCAGUGAGACGAAAUAAGCGUCUGUCCUUGUGCUGUGGUGUUCUGUACGCUGAGAAGACGGCUGCUGGCACCUCAGGGCGCGUUACCGUGCCUUGGCCGCUCAGCCUGCACUGCUCGGUGUGAUUCAUCCCGGUGAUGAUCGAACUGAACGUGAACAGAGAUCGCCGCGUCAGACGAAAAUUGAAUUGCGUCUUCAGUGAUGCUACAAAAUCAUUGAAAUGUACUCAAUGAUAAGUUUUUUUCUGGAGUUGUACCGUUAACUUUUGCACGGCUGGAAUACCAGCGGGUUGCUCUGGUUUGGCUUUCGUCUCUCCUUGCAACACGUCUGAUACUUUUAAGGAGCGCUGGCACGUACCAGCUUCCCUCUCGUGGUUCUGUGUCGCUGUUUUUGCCCAGUGGCUGGUGCCGCCCACUCCAGUGACCCACACAGCGCCGUGUUUGGAGAUCCCCACAGGAAUGCAGUCGGGAGUCAGCAGUGCCACUGCUGUUCUCUCAGGGUGGGCGGAUCUCCCCCCUAAACCUCAGGAGUCAGACAGGAACUGGGUUCAACGCUCCUCUUUGUUCCCAUCAAGUUUGAGAUGACAUCUGCCAGGAUAUGGAUUUAAGUCAGCAGUCUGGAAGUGAAAUCCCAUAGAACUGGGUAUGGAAACAAGCAGUGGAAAGGCUAAAACCUCUUAAGGGCAAGGUAAACAAAUAGGAGGGAAAAAAGAGUAAGACAGUCUUUUCAGACAAAGGAACAGGUGAGUAUUAAUGUACAGUCAUUUAAAAUUUCUGACAGGAUAAAAACAGACGGUAUUAGUUGCAUGUUAAGCAAGUUAAAAUUUAUUCUGUUUCCAAUAUCUUCUUCAUGAUUAGUUAAAUGGAAAGAUGGAUAAUGUGCCUCAGGUUCCCGGUCAUUCCAAAUCUAUUUUUCUGUAUUGAUUAUUGCAAUGUUUACGAGCAACUAUGGUCAGAACAGAACAUUUACAUCACAUAACAGUGUGGUCUGUGGGGACAGCAAGUUUACAAAGCCAUUGAAAGUGGAUUUGCAGAGAGCUGACAGAUAACUACAAUGAUUAUCAUUGUGACAGUCUCAGUGGGAAUCUGUUUUAAUCUAAUUAACAUAACAGUGGCAACACAAUGGCAAUCAAAAUUAGAAGGACUAAAGAACUCUUCUAUUAUGUAGCCAGUGUGACUGACUGGAAAAGAGAGACCAUGGGAUGAAUGCAGAAAAGGAGUAUUCUUGAGGGUGAUUAACGGAUCAAAGAAGCUUUUUUUCUUUUGUACCCAUAAAGUUAAGCUGGGACUUCAUUUUUUUUUUCACACCAUGUACUCUAAGCACCAGUUUAAGGUAUUCUGAGUUGCCUUCUCUAUAUCUACAUGCCCUUGCGUUGACUGCACUACCAAGAUAGCUUUGGUUCUCUGAACUGUACAUAAGUUAGAUGUACAGAGUGAGCAAAAGCUGAAGUUUCUGCCCAGGUUCAAAUUUGUAAAAGGAAGCUACACUGCAAUUUUGAGAUGAGCUUAGAAAGUUAAGCAAGAGGAACUGUGGAAGGUAGGA
Molecule: long non-coding RNA, 1634 nt
Organism: Numida meleagris (helmeted guineafowl)
Lineage: Eukaryota; Metazoa; Chordata; Aves; Galliformes; Numididae
Source: Ensembl